Amphimedon queenslandica is the source of this 100-nucleotide long non-coding RNA. RefSeq lists it as uncharacterized. The record is from RefSeq and is a predicted model, not a curated record. The transcript has 3 exons. NCBI's taxonomy places the organism in Eukaryota, Metazoa, Porifera, Demospongiae, Haplosclerida, Niphatidae.
UGACAGAGUGUCUCUACCUAGUCUAAUUACACACAAGAGGAGUACUCACAGUCAAAAAGGAACUCAUUUCAAUACAAAUACUAUUACACAGUUACAGUCC